GGUGACAUGGUCUAAUGGUUAUGACGUUUCGUUCACAACGUGCAAAAUCCGAAAAGGUUCUGAGUUCGAUCCUCAGUGUCGCCA
Phialemonium atrogriseum is the source of this 84-nucleotide non-coding RNA. The record is from the annotation of a RefSeq genome assembly. Lineage: Eukaryota; Fungi; Ascomycota; Sordariomycetes; Cephalothecales; Cephalothecaceae.